Molecule: long non-coding RNA, 2141 nt
Organism: Chelonia mydas (Green sea turtle)
Lineage: Eukaryota; Metazoa; Chordata; Testudines; Cheloniidae
Exons: 2
Source: RefSeq, a predicted model, not a curated record
GGCUGGUGGAGAGACGUGGCCAGCGGCCAGCAAAAAAGCUGAUGGAGAGGACCAGAGCAGAGCCCUGCAGAGGUGUGGCGAUUGGCUGUUGGGGCGACGAGCGAGUGUCCGAGCAGUGCUGUGCAUAAGGUGCCUCCUUACCCACCCUGCCUUCCACACAUGGUGGAAGGUGAACUCUGCGGAUGAACCUCUGAACUCUGGGGCUGCACUGGCCAAGGACAGCAACUGCAUGUAUACCACAGUCACUGCCAUGAUACCUGAUUCUCUUCCUAAAGUGACACUGUUUCCAGUUGAGAUGGACAAAGCUGGCGCAAGAUAAAACAUUGAUUCCACAUUGAUAUUUGAAGAGAAGAACAAGGUAAGUUGUACAUCUAAAACAUGCAGGCUGUGAGAGGGCAAGGUCCUGCCCUUGUCUUCUGCUCUGUCUACACAUAGUAUUCAGAGAUCUUCAGCUGUUAAACAUCACAGUGUAGUUUAUUUACAUUGCUCUUCACAUCACCUUACUGAUCCAUACACCACAUCAUUUACAGCUUCAGUUUCUCCUCAGCCAUCUGGCAAAGAGAGGGAAGAGGUCUUGUCACCCAGAGAUCCUUCUUGGUUCUGACUCUCCUACUCUGACCCUCUUCCCCAGCACUGCCUUCCAGUGCUUUCUUCUACCCUCUGUGUUAAUGGGCUAAUUAGCUCUUUAAUCCUCCCCAGUCCAUUCUAAACUGCUAAUUAGGCACGGUGGUGGUGUUGGGGAAUUAAUUAAUGUUUAAGUGAUCAGAGUGCAGGCUCAAGUGUUGGUUCCCAGCACUCUGUCACAGGUGGAAUCCAUAAAAGAGCAAAGGAGAAUAAGGAAAACAAAACAGGUUUGGGGUCACAUGGGCAACUAUACCUACGGAACAUUUGCAAGCAAGUGAAAUACAACCAGAGUAGGCCACUAUCUACUAUAAAUCCCAUCAUCCUCAUGACAUACUAAUGUGACAAAGUUUUUCCAUUUACACACUUUUCUUGUUCAAAGGAAUGAAUGAUUUCCAGUUUCCCCUGCAGCCCCAGAAGCUACAUGCGUUCUGAAAUGAAUUCUUUAUAUUAUACCAUCUGUCUCACUGUGGUCUGCAAUAUAAAGAAACAGCACAGAAUGCUGUGAAAAUUUUGUUAACAGCCCGCAACAAUUUAUUUUUGAUUAGUGGCAUGAAUGAGGAAAAUACAUUUUAGUUUCCCUGCUAGACCUAGCGCGCAGCAGGAAAAUUACAUGCCUGAAGGAUAUGUUCAGAUGUACGCCAAACCUUGUGAUGUUUCCAGAUUAUUUAACUUCGCCACAGGAAAUCAGAAAGAAAUAUUUAUAUGCUACGAUGUAUUUUUGAACUGCAGUCCAGUGGGGUUUGCAAGUUUUCUGAGCUUCCAGCAGAAAUAGUAGACUUGUUUGUGCUGAGUGGAAGAUAACUGAAACCAUAUCACAUUUUCAAAGACAAGUCCCACAACUUUCAUGCUAAUGACAUUAAAAAAUAUACUCGGUGAUGAGCUUUUUCAGCCAUAAUGAACAACUGCACAGUUCAUUAAUUUGGGUGUGAGUGGUGAAUCUUAUUUAUUUAUUCUUUUUAAAAUCAGAUAAUGAAUUGCGUGCUCAUGAAAAUGAAGACUAAGGGCCCAAUCCUGCUAUGGGCUGAGCAAAGUCAAUUCCUAUUGAAGUCAAUGGGAGAGGUGUGUGCUCAGCUCCUACCAAUAUUGAGUCCUAAUGGUCCUGGCUUGAGCCAAUUGGUAGGCACUAUGCCAGGUUUCUUCACACAGUUCUGCCAAGGCAUCUCACCUCUGGCCCUCAAACUCUCUGGCUAUUCCAACCCUGAACUGUGCCAAAAUGCAUGGUGGUUUUGUGAUGUGCCCAAAUGGAGAUGAAGAUGAGACCAAGAAUGUUUUCAUUGUGUCCUUUCCAACUUUUCAACAGUUUAAUUGGACAUGAAUUGAUACAUUUAUCCCAGGUUUAUUUUUACUAUUCUUUAUGGCAUUUGCUUUGACUUGGGGCUUUCUGUUUAAUUUUCAUCACGCUUAUUUCUCAAUCAAAAUAUGACAAAACCAUUGCUUCCUCCAGGAAUAUAUUCUGUGUAAGAUUUGCAAUGUGACAUAAUCCUAUUUCUAUAUUUUAAUAUAUAUAGGAAACAAAA